Molecule: long non-coding RNA, 205 nt
Filed under: Gossypium barbadense (sea-island cotton)
Lineage: Eukaryota; Viridiplantae; Streptophyta; Magnoliopsida; Malvales; Malvaceae
Description: long non-coding RNA (GBAR_LNC000770)
Source: RNAcentral
AAACAGACAGUGGGAACGAAAAUUGGGAGGAAAAGAAAGGAGAAAAGAAAAAGGAGAAAAUUAGGGAUUUGAAGCUUCAAGCUUAAUUUGGUAAGUCAAUUAAGUCUCUUUCUUUAUAAUUUUUGAUGUUUUUGAAGUCCUAGAGACAAAUAUUACUUGAUGUAAGUGAAAAUUUUAAAGUUAAUAGAUUUUUAGCAUGGGUUAU